AGUGACAGGGCUUCCUGUGGAAAUCUCUGGACGGGUCCAACUCAUAACUCCACUGAAAACUGGCUUGCUCUCACAAGUGCUGCCUUGCCCCUCCAUACUGUCACUGAUCACAGCGUAGCAGGAUGUAGCGGAAUGUUGCAGCAAAAACAACCAAAUCAGAGCAGCUCUUGACCAAUCAGCACUUCAUUGCCACACCGGGCAUGCUCUGUAGACUGCUAAUCACAGAGUCAGAAUAUGGCCGUUACACACAGAAAAAAAAAGAAGAAAGAAAAAAAAACAGGAAAGUGGAGGAGACCUGUCCCAACAGGUACAUCUGAAGUUCAACCAGUCUCGUGGGCCCGCAUAGACUGAACAGGGACCUCGUUUUGUCAGCUACAACUAGUUGGGCCGGAGUCUAAGCAAAGAAACGGUGAAAAGGCGAGCUAUACGGUCACACUGAUUUUAAAGGACAAGGCGCUCGUCUGUCACUGUCUUUCUCCACCAGGCCAAGAUAACUUGAACCCCAGAGGGAACGCCUGGGUCUUCAAUGAUUCAAACCUAGUGCUUUAAAAUAAGGACUGGGAACACAUUUUGUAGCCAAUUUGCAUGCCAAGUGUCAAGUAUUCAGAAACCAUAAAUUAAGCUUCUCCAGGAUGCAACACUUCCUAUUAAUUUGAUUAUUCAUACUGGUUGUGUAUAAUCAGUCUGAGAAGCGAGGCUAUUUAACAGAAUUAAAAAUGAACGUGGGAAUUAGGUUUAAAAGCAAAAGAAGAUGGAAAGUACCCAGGGGCCAUGUUUAACCGGUUUCGGCAAAGUGCACGGAACAUUUUCAGACACACUUGGCAGGGCACCGGCUCUACUUUUUCUCCCCCUUUGUCUCAGAGACGCCAUAAAGGUUCCGUAGCUUCAGCCUGCGGUCUGGGCGGUGAUCUCACUUCCGUUCUGACUCAUCGGCCAAGCGAACUUUUCUGCCGCUCGUGCAAAAUUAAACAUCCUCCGGUCUACGUAGUCUCAGCUUUCCUCUCCUUGCAAGAUAAUCUGUUUUACAUCAGCAGUAUGCAUCCUGGAAAAAAACGGGACGGACGACGAUCGGUGAAUUCGGGCGUUCCGUCUUCAAACCUACCCCGGUUCCAUUGUCACAAACCACCACUUUCCUUCCUUGACUGUCCAUUUUCGGAAUCCAAGAACCUGCAGACCUCUCCUGCUCAACUUUCUUCAGCAAGCCGGAAAUCGCUACCCCGGCUCCCGGAAAGGGUUUCUUCCGAGAUCUACUGUGUUCCACAAAAACAAUAGAGGCGGAUAAAAAGAGGCCAAGAAAAAAGGAGGGCGGGAGGUGGAGGGGAGGUAUGGAUUUGAGAGGUAGCAAUUUACUGUAGUAUUUCAGGAACUAAUAAGAAGGUUGCAGAAAGCUCAGUUCUGAGAUGAGGAACUCCCCUUGUACUCUUAUGCAAUAUGGUUCAUCUGGAUUGUUUCUAUAAUAAUCCAGUUGUAUUAAUAGAUGUGGGGGAAAAUGCACAAAAUGUACAUAUGAACAUAAAAAAGAGUGUCGUGCUUCUGCAUUUAAUCUGUGUAAAAGGGACAAUAUGCAUUAAUAACAUUCUUGUAAAUGUGCUAGAGUUAGCCAGGCAGUCUAGUUUUUAUCUGUAGUUGCUGGGCUCCAUGUCUUUGGACUGGAAACUCGAGUGUCACUGUUUUGCUGUUUACGUAAUAAUACAUACAAUUUACCUAGUAGAGUGUGUCAAGGCCCAUUUGAUUGAAUUGGCAUCACAACAGGGCAGCUGCACAUAUAAAACAUCACUGAAUUUUCUUUCUUUCCAAAACUCCUUCCCAUCCUCUCUGUAUUUCAGGGGAGCUUGAGCUGGUUUUGCGCCUCCUGGGUCCACAGCCUUCUUUUUUGGAGGAUGAGUCAUAACCUGACAUCACUAAAGAUGUGUUGGGACACAAAGUGAUUCAGUCCUGUGCGGCAGGGCCUCUGGUCUCAUAUUCUGAUUUGGCCUUUAGAUGCAAAUAAAUGUAGUCUAGACACAGAGCUGGAGAAACGUGCAGGCAUGGUGUAUUAUGAGGCGACAAACUUAGCUGACUGUCAUCUCUCGACAGUGACCCCUUUUUCACAUGUACUCUCUUGGGGUAUGGAGCUGGUCUUGUAACCUAAAGGUCAUAGGUUCAGUUCCUGGGUUUGGCACUGCCCUUGUACCCUUGAGCAAGGUACUUAACCUGCAUUGCCUCAGUAUAUAUCCAGCUGUGUAAUUGGAUACAAUGUAAAAUGCUAUGUAAACAGUUGUGUAAGUCACUCUGGAUAAGAGCUAAAUGCUAAAUGCCAGCAAUGUAAUGUCUCUGUACUAGUCAUUAUGCACAGUAAACUCCUGGUGGGGGUUAUAUGUUUCCCAUUCUACUCUUUGUAUCUUUGUUUUCUACCUUGGUCUUCCUUAACUCUUGUUUGUUUCCCCCUCUCACAAAUGCGGCUACUGGACCCUGUCCCGACUCAC
Molecule: long non-coding RNA, 2465 nt
Organism: Anguilla rostrata (American eel)
Lineage: Eukaryota; Metazoa; Chordata; Actinopteri; Anguilliformes; Anguillidae
Exons: 3
Source: RefSeq, a predicted model, not a curated record